UACGGAGGGUGCGAGCGUUGUUCGGAAUCACUGGGCGUAAAGCGCGUGUAGGCGGCCCACUAAGUCUGAUGUGAAAGCCCGGGGCUCACCCCCGGAAGUGCAUUGGAAACUGGUGGACUCGAGUCCCGGAGAGGAGAGUGGAAUUCCUGGUGUAGCGGUGAAAUGCGUAGAUAUCAGGAGGAACACCGGUGGCGAAGGCGGCAUCCUGGACCGGCAUUGACGCUGAGGCGCGAAAGCCAGGGGAGCAAACGGG
Molecule: ribosomal RNA, 253 nt
Filed under: uncultured bacterium
Lineage: Bacteria
Description: partial 16S ribosomal RNA
Rfam family: Bacterial small subunit ribosomal RNA
Source: RNAcentral